This 268-nucleotide long non-coding RNA is filed under the name Manihot esculenta (cassava). RNAcentral describes it as "long non-coding RNA (MESC_LNC007737)". Lineage: Eukaryota; Viridiplantae; Streptophyta; Magnoliopsida; Malpighiales; Euphorbiaceae. The record is from RNAcentral.
UAUGGUCCCAGAAGCCCAAGUACCUAAACCUAGCUCAUCUGAAGGGAGCAAGGUCAAGAUGACUGACUAUUUGAAGUUGGAUGCUCCUAAGUAUGAAACAGGUGAUGAUCCAUUCGAGUACCUCAGGACAGUCAAGAUGAUAACAGAUGAGUUAGGGGCAGAUGACAGUAGAGCCAUUCAGAUGGCUGGGUUCACACUGAAGUGCAAGAAGGCCCGAGAGUGGUUUAAAAACUAUGUGAACCCGAGGUUGGAUAGCCUAUCAUGGGAG